RNAcentral lists this transfer RNA (63 nucleotides) under Postharmostomum commutatum. RNAcentral's name for it is "tRNA-Trp". The record is from RNAcentral. Lineage: Eukaryota; Metazoa; Platyhelminthes; Trematoda; Diplostomida; Brachylaimidae.
AGCAAGCUAAGUUAGAGUAGACUGUUUGUUUUCAAAACAAAAUGCGGUUGGUGCCGUUUGCUG